AAUAAUAACUCUUGAGUGACCCUCUGUCGGUCGGUGGGUCGGAUAGGCAGCCCCCAGGGCUCUCUCUGUUUCUGUCUUGAGGGCUGGUGUGUGUUGUGCUAGUCACCAGGCAACAGACUAGGAACUAGGAACUAGGCAACAGACUAGGAACUAGGCAACAGACUAGGAACUAGGAACUAGGCAGCAGACUAGGAACUAGGAACUAGGCAGCAGUGUAGGAACCAGGCAGCUAAGCAUCAUUCGAUCAGUGUGUUAAGGCUACAAUACUUAGGGAAUAGGAACAUGUUGAACACUGAAUAGUCAAGGUACAGUCAAUUUUCUAUGACGCAAUAUGAAUGUCAUUGAUCCGUUUUCACCAGUACUAAUGGUGUAACUGAUAAGCUUCUUCCAAUAAACAUUGAUGAUUGGGAUGGUCAAAGUUAGCUGAUUAGGUUAAAUCAACAUUCAUUAUCUUGUCACACAGUAACCUCUUUCAUCCCAAAACAUCAACAGUCCUCAACACUCCAAAGGUUAUAUUCUAGGCACCUGUAACGUCCGUCGUUAUGAGUAGACCAAGGCGCAGCGUGAGCUGGGUUCAUCAUAUUUAUUUUAAAGGUGAACCAGCAAAAAAACAAAACAAUACAACAACACAACAAACUAAAAAGUCUCGCAGGCUACUAACACCUACACAGAAACUAGAUCCCACACAGAAGGAGUAGGAGAAAAAAAGGGCUGCCUAAGUAUGAUUCCCAAUCAGAGACAACGAUAGACAGCUGCCUCCGAUUGGAAACCAUACUAGGCCAAUCAAAGAAAAGAAGAAAAAAAAAAACAUAGAAAUAUAACACAUAGAAUGCCCACCCCCAUAUCACACCCUGACCUAACCAAACAGAGAAAUAAACCGUCUCUCUCAGGUCAGGGCGUGACAGCGCCACAUUUGACCAGGCCUUAAUUGAAAAACAAAUGACCAUAAAGCCUUUAAGAAGUGUCGCACUGAGCAUUUCCUGAUUGCUUACCACUGAAAUAAAGUUCAUAUGAAAAAACCCAUAGUGUUUCCCUUGGGUCUUGAUUUGCAUGUUGGUCUCAUUUGAAAUUCAUGAUUAAUCCACACUGAUUGAUCCACAUUCCUCAUUGCAAUAAAUAUUUGAUUCUGUCACAUUAGAUUUUCGUUAUUUUUCAUCUACCCCUCUCUCUCUCUCUCUCUCUCUCUCUCUCUCUCUCUCUCUCUCUCUCUGUUGAGAACAUCAAAAAGGUGCACCAAGCUGAGGAUGGGGGUUUGGAGAUGAGUACAGAGGGG
This 1273-nucleotide long non-coding RNA is filed under the name Salmo salar (Atlantic salmon). Its description in RNAcentral is "lncRNA (ENSSSAG00000082014.1)". The record is from RNAcentral. Lineage: Eukaryota; Metazoa; Chordata; Actinopteri; Salmoniformes; Salmonidae.